GAUGAACGCUGGCGGCGUGCCUAAUACAUGCAAGUCGAGCGAACAGACGAGGAGCUUGCUCCUCUGACGUUAGCGGCGGACGGGUGAGUAACACGUGGAUAACCUACCUAUAAGACUGGGAUAACUUCGGGAAACCGGAGCUAAUACCGGAUAAUAUAUUGAACCGCAUGGUUCAAUAGUGAAAGACGGUUUUGCUGUCACUUAUAGAUGGAUCCGCGCCGCAUUAGCUAGUUGGUAAGGUAACGGCUUACCAAGGCAACGAUGCGUAGCCGACCUGAGAGGGUGAUCGGCCACACGGGAACUGAGACACGGUCCAGACUCCUACGGGAGGCAGCAGUAGGGAAUCUUCCGCAAUGGGCGAAAGCCUGACGGAGCAACGCCGCGUGAGUGAUGAAGGUCUUCGGAUCUUAAAACUCUGUUAUUAGGGAAGAACAAAUGUGUAAGUAACUAUGCACGUCUUGACGGUACCUAAUCAGAAAGCCACGGCUAACUACGUG
This 497-nucleotide ribosomal RNA is filed under the name uncultured bacterium. RNAcentral describes it as "partial 16S ribosomal RNA". It matches the Rfam family "Bacterial small subunit ribosomal RNA", at positions 28 to 507 of the family's 1533-position model. The record is from RNAcentral.